RNAcentral lists this long non-coding RNA (563 nucleotides) under Pan troglodytes (chimpanzee). RNAcentral's name for it is "long non-coding RNA NONPTRT017831". The record is from RNAcentral. Lineage: Eukaryota; Metazoa; Chordata; Mammalia; Primates; Hominidae.
CGCCUCCUCGCCCCGCGCGGCUAAAGCCGGACCGUGCGGGGCCAGGGGUAGAGAACGGCCCCUCGCCGGGACUUGAACGCCAGACCCACGGAGCCCACGGCAAGUCCGCUCCGCUCGGAAAAUAUAGACCUUUUCAUCCCGCACUCAUGACCCUCUCCUUUCCCCCAAAAUAUAAACAACUCGAGGGCGGAGGCCAGGGAACUGCCGCCCGGCUUUACGUAACUUGACCCACAGGCGGGCGGCGGCAGGUGGCUGCACCCGGCGAGCAAGGUGCUCGAAGCCCCGAGAACGCAGGACGCCGCUCGGGCAGCGAGACGGCCGGGAAGCACGAGAGGCCGGGGAGCGGCGGCGGCCUCCUUACCUUUCCAGAUGCCCAGAGAGAGCUGGGACGUGUCCAAGUCCACCACAUAGUCCCCCAAGAACCGGUUCAACACGUCCACGACCACCGACUCGAAAACCAUGUUCCUCAGCCGUGGUGGGCACGGCAGCCGGCCCGUGCGCUCCUCCUCCCGCCGCCUUCCCCACGCCCCUCCCUCGAGUAAAUGUCAUUGGUGUGCUGCUUG